RNAcentral lists this ribosomal RNA (119 nucleotides) under Pteropus alecto (black flying fox). Lineage: Eukaryota; Metazoa; Chordata; Mammalia; Chiroptera; Pteropodidae. The record is from RNAcentral.
GCCUAUGGCCAUGCUACCCUGAACAUGUCUGAUCCCGUCUGAUCGUGAAAGCUAAGCAGGGUCGGUCUUGGUUAGUACUUGGAUGGGAGACCUCCUAGGAAGACCAGGUGCUGUAGGUG